This 3011-nucleotide ribosomal RNA is filed under the name candidate division WWE3 bacterium RIFOXYB2_FULL_41_6. RNAcentral's name for it is "bacterial LSU rRNA". It matches the Rfam family "Bacterial large subunit ribosomal RNA". Lineage: Bacteria; candidate division WWE3. The record is from RNAcentral.
UAAAAAAAGUUAUUCAUGCAUGUGGUGGAUGCCUUGGGUCUUUGUGUCGAUGAAGGAAGUGCCAGACUGCUUUAAGCCUCGAGGAGCUGUCAAGAAGCGUUAUUACUCGGGGAUUUCCGAAUGGGGAAACCCUACCAAGCUGAGAGCUUGGUAACUCGUUGCUGAAGGUUUGCCGCAAGGUGAAUUAUAGGCAACGUAGAGAGAACUCUGCGAACUGAAACAACUUAGUAGCAGAAGGAAAAUAGACAAAUAUGUUAUUCCCUUAGUAGCGGCGAGCGAAAGGGGAAGAGCCCAAACCCAAGUUUUAAUUAACUUUGGGGGUUCGGAAGAUUCUAGCCGGUUUAACCGGCAGAGAGUUACAAAUCUUUUUUGUAGGAGAAUAUCCCUGGAACGGGAAGCCAUAGCGGGUAAUAGCCCCGUAUCCGAAACGAAAAAGACUCUUGGAUCUUUCCAGAGUAGCACGGGACACGUGUAACCCUGUGUGAAUGUGCGACGCCCACGUCGUAAGGCUAAAUACACAAAGACACCGAUAGUGAACUAGUACCGUGAGGGAAAGGUGAAAAGUACCCCUGGUAGGGGAGUGAAAUAGUAACUGAAACCGCAUGCAGACAAGCUGGUAAAGGUCGCUUUUGCGCAAGCAAGGGUGACUGAUACCGUGCCUAUUGAAGAAUGAGCCAACGAAUUACCUUUGCGUGCUUGCUUAAACCAUAUUAAAUGGUGUAGGCGUAGCGAAAGCAAGUUUUAAUAGAGCGUUGACACUUUAUUGUGUCAGGUACGUUAAGGUAAACCCGAAGCCAAGUGAGCUAACCAUGAGCAGGGUGAAAUCCGCCGAAGGGCGGAUGGAGGCCCGAACCGGUGUAAGUGGAAAAUUGCUCGGAUGACUUGUGGUUAGAGGUAAAACGCUUAUCGAACUUGGCGAUAGCUGGUUCUCCUCGAAAUAUAUUUGGGUAUAGCCUCGGUUAAUAUAGAUUUUGUGAGGUAGAGAUACUGAAAAGGGCUGAGGGACGCAAGUCUACUCACUAUUACCAAACUCCGAAUGCACAAAAUCGUUCACUGAGAGUCAGUAAUGCGGGGAAAUCUCGUGUUACUAAAGGGAAACAACCCAGACCAACGGAUAAGGUCCCUAAUCUUUGCUAAGUGGGGAAGGAAGUGAUGACGUUUAGACAGCUAGGAGGUUGGCUUAGAAGCAGCCAUCCUUUAAAGAAAGCGUAACAGCUCACUAGUUAAACGGCAUCGCGCCGAAGAUUUAACGGGGCUCAAGCAAAGAACCGAAUCCAUGGCUUUGUGUGGUUUACGAACCACAUAAGGGGUAGAGGAGCUUUGAUGUAAUCCACUGUAAAGUGGUGUAGCGAUGAAGGUGUACUCGUGAGGGGCACUGGAGCAGCAUCAAGUGAGGAUGUUGGUAUGAGUAACGAGAGCCAGGCGAAAACCCUGGCCGCCGAAAACCUAAGGGUUCCUCCGCUAUGUCAGUCAUCGGAGGGUUAGUCGGUCCUAAGGCGAGGCCGAAAGGCGUAACUGAUGGACAGCAGGUUAAUAUUCCUGCACUGUUGUAUUACCGUUUUACCAAUGGGGGGACGGAGAAUGCUGGUUUGAGCUGAUUAAGGAUUUCAGUUCCGAAAGCAAGCCCGCUCGUGUAGGCAAAUCCGCACGAGUGUUAUGGGUCAGCCUGGGAAAAGUUUACCGCAAGGUGAGCAAUUCAAGUCAUGCAAUCUUCCAAGAAAAACCUCUAGGGAGGUAAUACAAUAUCCGUACCGCAAACCGACACAGGUAGGUGGGUAGAGAAUACUAAGGCGAACGAGAGAAUCGUGGUUGAGGAACUAGGCAAAUUACAUCCGUAACUUAGGGAAAAGGAUGCCCACCGUUAGCAAUAAUUGGUGGGGGCACAAAAAUGGUUCAAGCGACUGUUUAACAAAAACACAGGUUCCUGCUAAACUCGUAAGAGGAAGUAUAGGGGCCGACGCCUGCCCAGUGCCCGUAGGUUAAAUCCGGAGGUGACUCUGCGUAAGCAGCGAAGCUUUUGGUCUAAGCCCGGGUGAACGGCAGCAGUAACUAUAACUGUUCUAUGGUAGCGUAAUCCCUUGCCGGGUAAGUUCCGGCCUGCACGAAAGGCGUAACGACUUGAGCACUCUCUUAAUCACGAACUCGGUGAAAUUGAACUACCGGUGAAGAUGCCGGUUACUCGUUGUUGGACAAAUAGACCCCAUGGAGCUUUACUGUAGCUUGGUACUGAUAAUUGGUUUGAGCUGUGUAGCAUAGGAGGGAGAUUUCCCCGCUAACGCUGGGAAGUCACCAGUGAAAUACCUCUCUUCUUACACUGAGAAUCUUACUAUCCGCCGUGAUCCGGCGGGAGGACAAUGCCUGGUGGGCAGUUUAUCUGGGGCGGAUUCCUGCUAAAAGGUAACGCAGGAGCCCAAAGGUUCACUUAGCACCGAUGGAAAUGGUGCUGUAAGCGUAAAGGUAAAUGUGAGCUUGACUGCGAGACAUACAAGUCGAGCAGAUGCGAAAGCAGGGCUUAGUGAUCUUCCGUGUGCCUAGUGGUAGGCCCGGAACUUAACGGAUAAAAGUUACCCUGGGGAUAACAGGCUGAUAGUGCCCGAGCGUUCACAGCGGCGGCACUGUUUGGCACCUCGAUGUCGUCUCGUCUCAACCUGGGGCUGAAGCAGGUCCCAAGGGUCCGGCUGUUCGCCGGUUAAAGAGGCGCGUUAGAUGGGUUCAGAACGUCGUGAGACAGUUCGGUCUCUUUCCACAACGAGCGCAAGACUUUGAAAGGACUCAUUCCUAGUACGAGAGGACCGGAAUGAUUAAACCUCUAGUGUACCAGUUGUCCUACCAAGGGCAUCGCUGGGUAGCUACGUUUAAACAAGAUAACCGCUGAAAGCAUCUAAGCGGGAAACUUACCUUAAGAUUAAAGUCUGUUCCGCGCAAGCGGACACAAAUCCUAGGAGAAUACUAGGUUGAUAGGCCGUAGGUGUAAGUACAGCAAUGUAUUCAGCCGAGCGGUACUAAUAUUU